Molecule: long non-coding RNA, 5267 nt
Filed under: Mus musculus (house mouse)
Lineage: Eukaryota; Metazoa; Chordata; Mammalia; Rodentia; Muridae
Description: predicted gene, 50115
Source: RNAcentral
CACUUCGAUGCGCACGCUUCGCCUGUCGUAGUGCUGGCUCAGGCUCUUCUCCAGGGCAAAGGCGUCCCCGCACUCCAAGCACUUGUACCCACGCAUCGGUAACGUGAUCCCUGCGUUGGCAGGAGGACUGAGGUUGGGGGUGUAAACCGGGACUGGGUUGACGCUGCUCAGCACCUUGUUGAAAGCUUCCACCACAGAACUCUGCAAGGACGACACCACCUGGACCCGAGACACCUUCUUAGGUGGCUGCGAGGCCGCUGCAUUGAUUAUUGCCUGCUUUAUUUGCUGCUGAGGUUUGGUGAGCACUUGGCGGAGUUCAGAGGUGGCCUGGGCACCCUGAGGCAGAAGGUUAAGGUUGGCAAGGUGCACAGUCUUUGGCACGAGUUUGGCAUUGGCCAGGCUGGAUGCCGGCACCACAACGGUUUGCUGCUGGAUGGCAUUGGCAGCUUUGAUGAUGGCGCUACUGGCACUCUGAACAGAGGCGGCGGAUAUGACCGUGGCUUUCACCGUUGUGUUGUUGGCGAGCUUCAGAUUGAUGACUUGAGACCCUGCCGUCUUGACGGCAGACACGGGAAGAAAAGCUGUCGCCACGGGCUUGAUGGUGACCUGUUUGGGGGUCAGCUCUGCAGAGGAAACUGCACUUGUAACCAUGGCCGUCUGCAGAGGUGCCCUGGGCGGGGAGGAGAGGACCGUGGCUGAUGCUGAAGAUGACAGGAGUGAUGUCACAGACGCCAUCACGGACGCUGCCUGCUCAGAAGGCUUCUUUCCAGAGUCCAGGUCCACUUCUGGCAGCACUCUGGUCACAGUCCUCUUGAUCUCCCCAGACGAUGUCUUGAUGGUCUUGAUGCGGACUUUGGGGAUGGCUGGGGUAGAGCCCACGGGUGAGGAUGGUGACCCUUUGCUGCUGUUCUCACUGGAUACGCUCCUGGGACUGUCUGAUGGCUUCAGGGAGGCCUUCUUGGUGCCAUCGAUGAGAUUCUGGGACUCGGGAGACUUGUCGGCAGCUUUGGGACUGUCAUUCACUUCUUUUGGUAACGGGGAGGCUUCCCUGGAGUUGGCCACAGGCUCUUUGCAGGAGUCGGACGCAGCCUUUUUAGCGCUGAGCGCCGCAAUGGCCGCUAUGCACGAGGAGAGCUUGGAGGACGGCUUCGUUUUGGAAGAUGCGGCAGCAGCGAUGCCGGAGUCGCUCUUCUCGGAGCUCGGCUUCCCGUCAAGGACCCUGCUCUCAAGCAUCUUCUCAGAGUUCUCCUUCAACUUAUCCUCUGCUUUUCUGACCUUAAAUGGCUCAUAAACACUCAGGGUUAUAGAAUUGCUUUCUGCCUCCCUCUUGACCUUGUUUUUAUCCGUGUGGCCUGAUGUAGAGACUCCAGUCUUGCUGGAGUUUUCCCCUCCAAGUGCCUUCAGUUUGUCGAAGUCCUGCUGGGGUGCUGAGCCCGUCAGCACAUUCGAUCUGAAACCGGCCCGCGCCUCCUCCUUAUCAGGCGGGUCGUCCACCUCUAUCUUCUCAUCGUCCUCAAACUCCUCGGCGCUGGAGAUGGGGCUGAACUGGCUGAAUGCCGGGUCCUUAAGAGUCACCUCCGAGGCAGGUGUGUCUCCUUUUAAGGACUUGGCUCCAUCCUUACCAUAGCUGUCAAGAGAGGAUGCCGUGAGGAACCCAUUAUGCAAACCAUUGCCUGUGGGAUUGUGGCCAUCUUUUUCCACCCCCUCGGAGGAGUCGAUGUUGCGGACAUUCUUCACAAUCACACUGACGCCGACGUCUGAGGAUGAUGGGGUGUGAGAGUCGUCAUCCACGUGAGCAUUCUGCUUAAUGUGGCUCUCAUGGUCAUCGUGUCCGGACUCAAUCGCUGCUUUGGGAUCGACCAUAUCUGGUAUGUCAAAUGCUGCCAAGAGGUCAUCAAAGUCUGGGGUCUUCAUAUCCCCCAUGGUCAUGAAUUUGAUCAGUUCUGUUAGAGGAAGGGGAAAAAAAAUCCAGCAAUUAGCACUGAUAAUGAAGUCAGCCCUUCUGUGGUGUUCACACUAAACACUUAGCACCAAUAAUGAUGUCAGCCCUACUGUAGCAGUCACACUAGCUGAGUAACAGUAUUAACCACAUCAGCCACCACUGAGGCAUCGACAAAGCUACUCACCCUAGACUCACUGCUAGACUCACCGCUAGACUCACCCUAGACUCACCGCUAGACUCACCGCUAGACUCACCGCUAGACUCACCACAGUGUUUUCAUAAAAGCUACUUCUCCAAAUAUAUCCAUCUUGACAACACAUAACUCCAGUAGCACAAGCUGAUCAUUUCAGUUACCAUCAGAUUUGGGACGAUUACAAUAAAAACAACUACAGAUUUCAAAAUCCAUCCACAAAAGAAUGAAUUGGCCAUACACACCUACCACAAGGUAUCCACUAAAGUCAUCUGGGAUCUUUUUCCUUUUAAUCCCUAAGGAAGCAAUCCCGUCUAUUUUUAAUUCUAGGCCUCCCUGUUGUGUUGAAAAAGAAACAGACAAGUGUGGUAGCUCACACCUUUAAUCUCAGCACUAAGGAGGCAGAAGCAGGAGGAUCUCUGAGUUUGGGGCUAGCCUGGUCUGCAGUGAGAGUUCCAGGAUGGCCAGGGCUACACGAAGAAACCCUGUCUGGAAGGAAAGAAGGAAAGGAAAGGAAAGGAAAGGAAAGGAAAGGAAAGGAAAGGAAAGGAAAGGAAAGGAAGGUUGGUUUGGCCGGUGACUGACUCUGGGGUAGGAUGGAGUUGUAGGAAAAUAAAGUAAGUAAAGUCAUUAUCAGAAAUGAAAGCUAUGCAGGUCCACUCAGUGCUGGAGCCUUUCUUUAGGACACCCCUAUUUCCUGGUACAGUCACUGUGUGCAAUAGCACCCCCCAUCCUGAGGCAGGCAAUGUGCCGUCCUCUUCACAUCACAAAUGCUAAAGAAUGAACAAGUCCCACAGCAGGCGUCACAGAUAAGAUCUGUAUCAGAGCAUGUCUGGGCUCAGCUCCGCCACUCACCAGCUCUAGACCCCCAGAAGUAAGGAAGUAACAGAUUUUAGUUUGGACUUGGUGCAUCCUUCAGUAGUGAAGGCAAGCAGCCAAGAAGAGAAGGAAAAUAGAGGGGAGAGGGCGGAAGCAGGCAGAGAGGAGGUGAAGGGGCAGGGCGCUGAGGCCGACUGGGAACCUUGCCGAGGUCAGCCACCCAGAGGACUCACAGGUAGACAGCCCUGGACUAUCCACUCCUCAGGACUCCCUGUGCUGUUUGUCUUUGACUUCCACAUUUUGUUCAAUUAUUUAAUAUUUUUCUACAACCUGUAAAAAGCCAUGCAUUCCUGAUUAGAACAACAACCUUUAGAUCAAGGUAAAAUGCAACCAGAUGAGAGCAGACAGCCAGGACACUAUACAGGCCCCACGUGCAGCAUAGCAGAAAAGACUCGCUAUAUUACCACUCUGCGGACAGACGUAAUCCGCUAAGACUGUGGGGAAAUCUGCUGUUGAGGUUGAGACAAAUACCAGUUCAACAGGUGCAGAAACACACACCAUCCGAGUCACACGCACAGCUGGGACAGUGGUGGGGUCUUUUCUCCUGGGUCUCCUGACCUUGAGGCAAACUAUGGUCACUAUAUUUUCUACUGCUGGACCAGACAAGGAACGGCAUAGUGUCAAGUCUCUUCCAACCUGAAAGGCUGCACCCAAGAAAUGAGACACGAUCCCAAAAUGAGGCUGGAUUAAAGGGUCUCUAAGAGAUCGUCCGCGGGGUGAAGUCUGUGUUUGUGACUUUCUUUCUAAAACUGGUAUUGAGCAUUCAAACUAUAAAAGGGAGGGACUGAGAAAUAAUCUACCGGCUAUUGCAGUUACAUAAAAGAAUCCACGCACUUCACAACACCACCAGAAUGUCACCACCUCUAUCUACCCCCAAGCAUCGCAUCGCAUCGCAUCACGUCGCAUCGCAUAGCUGCUGUGAACCAAAUGCCCAUUAUAAAGCUGUACUGCUGCUGAAGGAGCUGCCGUUAGCGCUGCGAACUAGGCAGUUCCGUGGUAGCAUGCUCUGCUUGCUUCCAGAAUCAUAAGCCAGCUCUUUCACCCAACACCAUACUUGAAGGGCGGGUCUUUGAAAGAUCCAAAAGCUAAGACCUAGGUUUACUCAGCCCCAGUAUUAGCUGGACCCUAAGAACUCUAGGCUUUCCUCACAGGGACACGAGAUUUGUGUCUCACCCUUUCUUAAUGAUGACGUAAUCAAAAGACUUCACAGUUACAUACUAUCUAUCAGGGGGCAAUCAAUUCAGAAACAACAACAGCAGGAAAUAAUUCAAAUACUCACUGGGUGAAAGGCCAAGGACAGAAAAAGUGCAAGAAACCAAACCUGUGUGACUGGCUCAGAAGAGCUGCUGGCAGGUGUUCUUAGCUGUGACACUCCCUGCCUCACACACUCCACAGGACUAGACCAUCUUGUCAUCCACAGCUUGUCGCCCCCCACGUCCCCAAGCUCUCCUUCAUGCCAGACUCAAGCAAGGUUAAAUUCAGACAGCUUAGAAAGAACUGUGUAGUCAGCCUGCAACACACUUCCCUGAGGGGCAGAGAAGUCCGGUGGCACUGGAACCUAGCCACGCCCAGCUCCCUGCACCCUGCUCUAGCUACAUAUAGUUCACCCUCUCUUCUUGGGAAUAGCAUGGGAACCCAAGAAGACCAGUGGCGCACUUUUCAGAUUUAAAGGUGAGUUAGCAGUGGUUCACCUUCAGAAAGACUGACGCUAAGCUAAAAAACGCAAAGCAAAGCGGUACAACUGACAGCGCUUCACCCCCUGAAACCCGAGAGCCCUGCGGCUGGCAGACUCACUGCUCUGGGUUGUAUAAUUAAUGUAAUAAAUACCACUCUGUAACUUCACACCUCUUUUCUGGUUGAUAGAAAUGUUUUUCAUACCCACAAUCACUCAUCCUGUUACCCUGACCUUUCCUACACUGGAAGACAAAAGCAAAUGGCCCGCUCUGAGGGGAAAUUACUUGUUCCUCUGAUUACAAAGAGGGAGUUUAUUGCAGAUUCCUUCAUUUUCCACCCCAAUUCCUAAGCAUUACCAUCUUAGAAAUAUUCUUUUGCUGAAGAUUAUUUUCUUGGGCUGGAAAGAUAGCUCAGCAGGUAAGAGCACUGACUGCUCUUCCAAAGGUCCUGAGUUCAAAUCCCAGCAACCACAUGGUGGCUCACAACCAUCUGUAAUGAGAUCUGACACCCUCUUCUGGUGCAUCUGAAGUCAGCUACAGUGUAAUUAUGUGUAUUAAUAAAUAAAUCUUUUAAAAAAGAUUA